Molecule: ribosomal RNA, 1259 nt
Filed under: Crateromorpha meyeri
Lineage: Eukaryota; Metazoa; Porifera; Hexactinellida; Lyssacinosida; Rossellidae
Description: eukaryotic LSU rRNA
Rfam family: Eukaryotic large subunit ribosomal RNA
Source: RNAcentral
GACCCGAAAGAUGGUGAACUAUGCCUGAAUAGGGUGAAGCCAGAGGAAACUCUGGUGGAAGCUCGUAGCGGUUCUGACGUGCAAAUCGAUCGUCAAAUUUGGGUAUAGGGGCGAAAGACUAAUCGAACCAUCUAGUAGCUGGUUCCCUCCGAAGUUUCCCUCAGGAUAGCUGGAGCCCGGAUUAUGUGUGUAGUUUUAUCAGGUAAAGCGAAUGAUUAGAGGUAUUGGGGUUGAAACGACCUCAACCUAUUCUCAAACUUUAAAUGGGUAAGAGGCACAGCUUACUUAAGUGAAGUUGUGUGCGUGUAAAAUGUGAAUACAGGGGCUCUUAGUGGGCCAUUUUUGGUAAGCAGAACUGGCGAUGCGGGAUGAACCGAACGCUGGGUUAAGGUGCCCAAGUCAACGCUCAUGAGAUCCCAGGAAAGGUGUUGGUUGAUACAGACAGCAGGACGGUGGCCAUGGAAGUCGGAAUCCGCUAAGGAGUGUGUAACAACUCACCUGCCGAAUCAACUAGCCCUGAAAAUGGAUGGCGCUCAAGCGUUGCACCUAUCCCCGGCCGCCGUGUGGAGUAGGCCAGUGUUGGUGACACGGCGUGUAGGAGGGCGCGGGGCUGUGUGUGUGUAUGCUGUGCAGGCUGGUGCGUGAGCCCAGCUGAAGCCGGCUCUGGUGCAGAUCUUGGUGGUAGUAGCAAUUAUUCAAAUGAGAACUUUGAAGGCCGAAGUGGAGAAGGGUUCCACGUGAACAGCAUUUGGACGUGGGUGGGUCGGUCCUAAGAGAUGGGCGAAAGCCUGGUUAGUAAGGGUGCAGAUGUGUUGUGUCCUUCACGGGGCAUGCAUAUCCUGGUUGGUGUUCCUUCUUCACGGGGGGCGAUGCCUAGCCAUGUGGUGGCACCAGCUCUCGAAAGGGCAUCGGGUUAAUAUUCCCGAACCAGACACCUGGAUGCUGCCUGUUUUCGACUGGCCUCUUCACGGGGGUUGGUUGGGCAGGUGGAGCACGGCAACGUAUAUGUAUUAGUAUGUGUGUAUACUCGGCGACGCUUGCGAUAGCCCUGGGAAGAGUUGUCUUUUCUUCUUAACCGUACCAACCGUGUGCACAGCCCUGGAAGCAGUUUACCUUGAGAGAGGGCUGGAGGUCGGGUAAAGCGCUGCACUUAUUGCAGCGUCCAGUGCGCUGUCGAGAGCCCUUGAAAAGCUGAGUCAGGACUGGACCAUGUUAGUCUCGUGUCUGGCCGUACCCAUCACCGCAUCAGGUCUCCAAGG